This 302-nucleotide ribosomal RNA is filed under the name Omanosaura cyanura. Its description in RNAcentral is "partial 12S ribosomal RNA". It matches the Rfam family "Bacterial small subunit ribosomal RNA", at positions 848 to 1315 of the family's 1533-position model. Lineage: Eukaryota; Metazoa; Chordata; Lepidosauria; Squamata; Lacertidae. The record is from RNAcentral.
AGCCAUUAUACAAUGCUUUCCGCCAGAGAACUACAAGUGAAAAACUUAAAACUCAAAGGACUUGGCGGUGUCCCAUACCGACCUAGAGGAGCCUGUCCUAUAAUCGAUACCCCCCGUUCUACCUAACCUCUACUAGCCCUUUCAACCUAUAUACCGCCGUCGACAGUCUACCCCAUGAGGGAUUAACAGUAGACAAAAUAGCCCUCCCGCUAAUACGUCAGGUCAAGGUGUAGUUCAUGUUGAGGGAGAGAUUGGCUACAUUUUUUAGUUAUAAAAAACACGGAAUAUAAAAUGAAACCCUA